Non-coding RNA from Podarcis lilfordi (Lilford's wall lizard), 78 nucleotides. NCBI's taxonomy places the organism in Eukaryota, Metazoa, Chordata, Lepidosauria, Squamata, Lacertidae. The record is from the annotation of a GenBank genome assembly.
UAUAUAUAUAUAUGUGUGUGUGUGUGUGUAUAUAUAUAUAUACACACACACACACACACACACAUAUAUAUAUAUGUU